UACAAUUGAGGUAAGGGGUGCCUAACACCUUCCCCUUACUUAACUGACUCCCGAACCUAGUAUCUCACCUUAACUAUUAGGUUUUAUCAUUAUUUCCCUUGUUCCUUAUGAACGAAUAAAGGGUGGUAGCGACUCUGUCAUUUUUCCAACCGUGACAGCCGGCAUCUCUGCCAGGGAAUUCUUAUAUUAUCCCUAAAGAGAGUCUGUCCUAACCUCCGGUUCUAGGUUUUUG
This 232-nucleotide long non-coding RNA is filed under the name Lathyrus oleraceus (garden pea). RNAcentral describes it as "Pisum sativum (pea) long non-coding RNA (PSAT_LNC023036)". Lineage: Eukaryota; Viridiplantae; Streptophyta; Magnoliopsida; Fabales; Fabaceae. The record is from RNAcentral.